UACGAAGGGGGCUAGCGUUGCUCGGAUUGACUGGGCGUAAAGGGCGCGUAGGCGGUUCGUACAGUCAGGCGUGAAAUUCCUGGGCUCAACCUGGGGGCUGCGCUUAAUACAUCCAGACUGGAGUGUGAAAGAGGGUCGUGGAAUUCCCAGUGUAGAGGUGAAAUUCGUAGAUAUUCGCAAGAACACCAGUGGCGAAGGCGGCUCACUGGCCCGGUACUGACGCUGAGGUGCGAAAGCGUGGGGAGCAAACAGG
RNAcentral lists this ribosomal RNA (253 nucleotides) under uncultured bacterium. Its description in RNAcentral is "partial 16S ribosomal RNA". It matches the Rfam family "Bacterial small subunit ribosomal RNA", at positions 524 to 776 of the family's 1533-position model. The record is from RNAcentral.